RNAcentral lists this microRNA (23 nucleotides) under Caenorhabditis briggsae. RNAcentral describes it as "cbr-miR-7594a". The record is from miRBase by way of RNAcentral. Lineage: Eukaryota; Metazoa; Nematoda; Chromadorea; Rhabditida; Rhabditidae.
UGAGGUAGGCAUGUAGCCCGAAA